Molecule: long non-coding RNA, 241 nt
Filed under: Mytilus galloprovincialis (Mediterranean mussel)
Lineage: Eukaryota; Metazoa; Mollusca; Bivalvia; Mytilida; Mytilidae
Source: RNAcentral
GUUCGCUUCUCAGUUUCAAAAUAAUUAACUUUUCAAAACACUUGUUUAUAUUGAUAGGGGAUUAAUAAAAGAUUCAAAAAGGCAGAAAAAAUAUAUAGGUCAAUGUGCUUGUUUUCGAGAUAUUAGCCAUUGAAAUUUUGGGGAGAAACUAAUCUCUCUUGACUUUUCAUAGCUUUAGCAUUAACAAGUUUAAGUUUUCAAAAACUAAAAAGAAACAUUUAGAAUUUCAUAAGACUUUUAC